This is a long non-coding RNA of Cavia porcellus (domestic guinea pig), 1185 nucleotides long. RefSeq lists it as uncharacterized. The transcript is spliced from 2 exons. NCBI's taxonomy places the organism in Eukaryota, Metazoa, Chordata, Mammalia, Rodentia, Caviidae. The record is from RefSeq and is a predicted model, not a curated record.
CGGCCAGGUUACCCGCGAGAACAAAGAAUGGUAAAGCCAGCCACCCUGCAAAAUAGGACCAGGAGAAGCCGUCUUCCUUCCUCGCACUCGCCGCCGAGUAGCUGAUCAGCGCUAGCAGCAACAGCAGCCCUGGGCCACGCCCGCUCGCCAGAUCUGUGCAAAGGUCAGCAGUGGAAGUCCAUGCCAGCGAGGUGAAGGAGCUGUGCUGGUGGGAUGAGGGUUCUACACAACAAAGACCAGGGCUCUCCUAAAAGGCACCACAAUCCUCCUCAGUGAUACGGAGGCCCCGAGCUCCUCCAACGACAAGCACAGUCGGGUACAUGCCAGGAAGCCAGUGUGAUGAGUUCAUCGUGGAGACUAAGCGGCACACAUCUUCCACUCCAGAGCCAGGAAGCCAUGCUCAAUGUGAGGACCAGAGCUUCUCCAGGAGAACCAAUGGCUCAAAUAGCAACUCAUAGGAGACCCACAAUGCCUCAACACAUUAACACCUUAACCUCCUCCUCCUUCUCCACCUCUCUUAUUUAUGUUGGCAACUUUCCUCAGGUGGAGCAUCUACGCUCAGCACCAUGCUGAUGUAAUCCAGCUGGUGUUAAGUUGACCACCAGUUCUUAAUCCAUAACACGGUCCCUCCUUUCCAUCCUGGGCCCUGGCCCCAGGCAGGCUCCAUCCUCCCAGCCUGUUCUUGUCUCUAAUCUCCAGUCCUGACUUCCACCCCACGUCUGUGGAGGGACUCAGAGCUGACUGUGUCCCUGUGUGCUCAUGAUUUUUAAUUCCCCGUCACCUUCAGGAGAUGCCAGUGAGUGAGUGACAUUGAAAACCUGCUCCCAACACUCCCCACCCCCUGCUUCUGCAUUCUUGCCAUGGAGCACCCUCUCCCCACCCCCAGAUCCCCGACCGCCAGAGCAGCUCAAGUUCCUGGGGGCCUUCCUCAGAGAGGCCACGCAGUCCAUGUGCCUCCUGACUCCCCAGGCCAGCCUUUCCAGUGCCCUCCCUGGGAUCUGGCUGCAACCUGGCCAAUAGAAACAGCUGGUCUGUAACUUCCCUGUCCAGCCUGGCACUCCACUCUCCUGGAUGCCUCUGUCCUCACCCACCUUAGAGCUGCCCAGACUAAGCUCAACAGACCCUCCUGCCUCAGCAUCCCAGGCAGUCGCUUAUGUCUUAGCUGAAUUAAUCUUGGAAAAGCCA